GUGCACCCGGCGUGACGUGCACGAGCGAAAAGAACUGAAUUUAUCCAAUCAUUGAAAUAAUUUUGUUUGCAGAGGCAAUUCGCGCAAGGGAGGUAUAGGAAUUAAUUAUUUGGCUUGCGAGUGACAGCACGAGCCGAAUUUAUUGCCCGUGGAAGUACCCACGAUAGGAAUACACUGUUGGGAACAUGGUGGCGCCGCUGACGGUACCUAUGUAAGUGGAAUUACUUUAUUGGAAGUACCCACGACGGGGAAAAUAGUCUCUCUAGUAUUGUCGGUGAAUGGUGAUGGUGGUGGUGGCGAUGGCUACUUUCCUCUGCUCAGAGAGAACCCCUGCAUGUCCUUCGUCGUGAUGCGAAAGAGCAGUGGAUGCAGAAAAUGUCUCUACCUGCCAGGAUGGUAUAAGAGCACGAACUGAAUCACCUGUUGGUGCAGAAGGCUUGGAGGACUGCUUUUGAAACAGUUGUUCAAAUUUCCUGCACCUCUUCGUAGCCGUUGUCUGAUUGCUGUAUUCUGGGGAGACUGAAGUUAAGAAGCCCUCACCGAAACCAACACUACGUUGCUGUGUUGUUUUCUUCCAAGGUCGGGCACAGUAAAGGAGACGACUCUGUAUCAAGGCACUACCCAGAGGGAGGAUGUUGGCCUGCUCCUGAUGGGAAAAUGUCUUCUUUCUCAUGGCGUGGCCAGGACUGCACUGACCCUACCAUCCACUCUACCUCUCCGGAAAGGGACUUGACAACCAGUCAAGAUGGAUGUGCAGAGAUAUACCAGCGCUUCUAGCAUUAACUGCCAAUUUGCACUGACGCAGCAAGACUCCCAACAGUCAAUAUCGUUUUACUUGAACAUCAUACUCUCGCCCAACUUUGUUUCGCCAACAAAGGUUUAUUCUCCAAAGUAUUUCUAAUUGAUUGUGUAUGAGUUUCAUACUACUACUACUGUCAGGGGCGUCGGAAGGUAUUUUAGUGUGGUACGGUCAGCCAUCUGAAGUACAAUUGACUCGUGGGGGAGUGGUGGCUGAGCCGAAAAUUUUUGAAUUUUAGAUCCCCAGUGUAUUUUGUUGACUCAUGGGUAUCUGGGGCAAAAAGUGGUACGGUCAAUACCGUAGUGACCGUACCGUGUGCGACGCCCCUGACUGUUGGAAUCCACCAGCUGUGUUUCCUUGAGGGGCGUAUCCUUACCUGGGAUGUGUUUUCUCAUUCCCGGCAGCAGAAAGAGCUCUACAAUAUGUAUAUAAUUUAAGAAUAGAAUUUGAUGUACAGGAGAGUGCCAAUUAUCCCCACCCCUCGGGACGCGGGCUGUCUCCAGAGGGUUCAGAUGAGAAGAAUGUUCGGAUAAGAGAGCAGUCACACAUCUAUCUAAAUCAUGCAUAUUCCAGCAUGUUUUCAUCAUUUUCGUUCUCUUCAGCAGUGAAACAGGAACUAGGUGCACUCAUGCUCCUCUAAAUUAAUGACACUAUUAUUACACAUUUUGACUCAAACCUGUUUUAAUACAUCUUGUGAAUCGCUUCAAUGGUGCCCCGAGCGACGAAAAUCACUAACUUUGAAACUCAUCUUCUACCCCUCAAUUAAAUGCAAGCAAUUAUUUUGGAUAAUUAAUCAUUUGGAUAGUUGACAUUAGGAUAAUCGGCACAUUGUGUGUGAUGGGGGGGGGGGGAGGAAGAGGAGGAGGCUGCGAGAGGCCGUGGUGGACGUGUACCGGCUUGUGCACAGCCUGGAAAUAGCCUCACUUUAGAUGUAUGCACAUUCAAACGGUGGAUGCUUCCCGCCAUCCUUUUCCCCCUCUUUUUCCUUUUCCUGCCAUUCUUUACCCCCUCUUUUUCAAUUUCCCGCUCUUCUUUUCCCCCUCUUUUUCCCCCUUUUUCUCCCCUUUUCCCCCUUUUCUGCGAGAAGAUUAGCC
Sycon ciliatum is the source of this 1893-nucleotide long non-coding RNA. RefSeq lists it as uncharacterized. The record is from RefSeq and is a predicted model, not a curated record. NCBI's taxonomy places the organism in Eukaryota, Metazoa, Porifera, Calcarea, Leucosolenida, Sycettidae. The transcript is spliced from 6 exons.